This 446-nucleotide small RNA is filed under the name Pan troglodytes (chimpanzee). Its description in RNAcentral is "retained intron". Lineage: Eukaryota; Metazoa; Chordata; Mammalia; Primates; Hominidae. The record is from RNAcentral.
UGGCGCCUCCUCCGCCUUCGCCCCAACUGCUUCUCCUGGCAGCCCUGGCGAGGCUCCUGGGUCCCAGCGAGGUGAUGGCUGGACCGGCGGAGGAGGCGGGAGCCCAUUGUCCCGAGAGCCUGUGGCCUCUGCCCCCGCAGGUAGGAGCCCUGGAGGGCCCAGGGAGAGAGGGAUGUGAAAGGCUAGCCCAGUCCCGCUCCGUUCUCGCCGCACCCUCCACAGUCACUAUCUGGGGACCUCUGCCGGUUCCUCAGUCCUCAGUAGCCAAAUUCUCCAUCCCAGCCUAGCGCUUGGGGCCUGCCGUCCCCUCCCCACCACACACACACGGAGUCCCCCAACUGCCCUAAGCUCUGUUCUUUCCCCAUGUAUAGGUGUCACCAAGAGUGACCUACACACGAGUGAGCCCAGGGCAGGUGAGUACAAGCAGGGGCCCACCACCCUUGGUG